RNAcentral lists this ribosomal RNA (260 nucleotides) under uncultured bacterium. RNAcentral's name for it is "partial 16S ribosomal RNA". The record is from RNAcentral.
CUGCUGCCUUCCGUAGGAGUUUGGGCCGUGUCUCAGUCCCAAUGUGGCCGUACACCCUCUCAGGCCGGCUACUGAUCGUCGCCUUGGUGGGCCGUUACCCCGCCAACCAGCUAAUCAGACGCGGGUCCAUCUUGCACCACCGGAGUUUUUCACACCGAGCCAUGCGGCUCUGUGCGCUUAUGCGGUAUUAGCACCUAUUUCUAAGUGUUAUCCCCCGGUGCAAGGCAGGUUCCCCCACGCGUUACUCACCCGUCCGCCAA